Patiria miniata (bat star) is the source of this 14473-nucleotide long non-coding RNA. RefSeq lists it as uncharacterized. Lineage: Eukaryota; Metazoa; Echinodermata; Asteroidea; Valvatida; Asterinidae. The record is from RefSeq and is a predicted model, not a curated record. The transcript has 3 exons.
GGCUGUGGAUCGGGAAAAUGCACAUGGACACAUGAUUUCGGUUUCUUUUAUGGGGUCAUUUAUGGUGCACUUGACGAUUCUUAGGCAUGUAAAUACUUGGGACGUACGAGUAAGAUAACCCCGUCGUGAUCAAUUAUCCCCAAGACAAUCACCAUUCACCAACCCACCUGCAGCUGUUAGAUGUAUCCACCCAGGCACCCAAUCUUCUCAACUGUCCAUCAACUGUCGGGUAUCAUGGUAGUCACAGGGACCAAAGACACAGGAUUCUAUGACCCAGCACCACCCUGGCAGCUGAACCAACACCACCCUGGCAGCUGACCCAACACCACCCUGGCAACUGACCCAACACCACCCUGGCAGCUGACCCAACACCACCCUGGCAGCUGACCCAGCACCACCCUGGCAGCUGACCCAACACCACCCUGGCAGCUGACCCAACACCACCCUGGCAGCUGACCCAGCACCACCCUGGCAGCUGACCCAACACCACCCUGGCAGCUGACCCAGCACCACCCUGGCAGCUGACCCAACACCACCGUGGCAGCUGACCUAACACCACCCUGGUAGCUGACCCAACACCACCCUGGCAGCUGACCCAACACCACCCUGGCAGCUGACCCAGCACCACCCUGGCAGCUGACCCAACACCACCGUGGCAGCUGACCUAACACCACCCUGGUAGCUGACCCAACACCACCCUGGCAGCUGACCCAACACCACCCUGGUAGCUGACCCAACACCACCCUGGCAGCUGACCCAGCACCACCCUGGCAGCUUAAACUGGCAUGAUUUGACAACAGCAGGAUGACUACUCACAAGCCACAAACCCAUUUACAUCUAGACACUCUUCUCCUGUCAUGGACAAUUCUACAUUCUGAAACGCUGCUGGAUGUCACUACAACAUGCUGCCCAGUGAACUGUUACCUACUGCCAAUCAACAUUGGAUCUGAUGAGCUACAUGCACCUAGUUUCAGUCACAGUAAAUGUGAGAAAUGUGACAUUACAGCAACUGAUUCCUGAAACCAAACAAGGAAGCAGUCUGGGAUGCAUUGGAGAUCUCUCUUGUCCAGAUGUUGCAUUGACUGCAUUGACUGGAUGGAAUUUGUGAGCUACAGGUAGACCAGCACCAGCAGGAGUCUGCAGGACUUGCUCCAGAAUGACUUCCUCCUCAACAAAUCUCUCCCGCUGGACACAAAACUGAUUCUAAGGAUACAUGUAGCUCACAUUGAGCCAUGUAUGAAUGGACCUCGCAGGUCACACAAAACGUUAGGAAAACUGUUGAGAUAUGAUGGGAGGGAUACAUGAACAAUUUGUAUAUACAGUACCAGCGGUCAUGAGAUGACCAUUAUGCUGAUCAUGAGAUCAUCAAAAACUCUCAAUAAUUUAGAAUGACUGUUGCAGUCUGUCAUGAACAGAACUCUGAAAAACGGAACUCUUUGGAGAAAAGGACCUCUUUUGAAUGACCAUUUUAUUUAAAAGAAGUAGAGGUCUCUCUCUUUGUGAGGUCACUGGAGGUCAUUACAGUUAACCUCUGACCUGAUAUGCCAGAUUGGUUGCCAAGGGUAACCACAGUUUGACAGAAGUCUAAAGUCUUGAAAAGAACUUGAUACAAAUCUUCAAUCACAGUAUUUGAUGAUGAAUACAUUAUCACUCAGAGACACAGUUUGGAACAUGAUCCCCGCAUUUGUUUUCCUGCAAGAAAUUUAUUUUGCAAUCCAAAAUCCUUGAAAACAAAACAUUUGUUCUUUGUGGAUCCACAGUUGAUGUCACUCAUUGUUGAGAUCAAAUUGAAUCACAAAAUGUGAAAAUGGACGAGAGGCCUCUACACAUUGCGCGUAACCAGCUUCUCAAAUCAAACCUGUUUUGGCACAAAAUUGAUUUUUUAAUCUUUUAAAAAAAAUUUUGCUCAAUUGAUUUCCUUUAUUUCAUUCAGUGUCACCACUUACUUGCCUGAAAUUGCAGCUAAUCACCAAAAAGAAACCCACUUAACAAGCAGAGGCUGAGAGGCACUGAUUAUCGUCACAGUGCUGCAUUUUUUUUCUGACUAAUCUUUCUUUGAGCAUUUGUGAAAUUUCAGACACAGAUUCACUCAAACUUUUCUGAUGAAAACAUUCAUUCCCAAGAAUUGUGAUUAUGAGAGAGCUGGUUACGUUUAAUUGAUAUUUUUAACUGAAAUAUUGUUUAUGGCAUUGCCUGCAUGGUAACAGCUGGGUGCAAGAUUGGUUUCCUUGUUGACAAACUGAUGACACACAAUGCAAACACACCUCUUUAAACCAAAUUGUUCUAUAAUCCACAAAUUGAGCCCAAAAUCUUCCCUUUGGACUAAUAUUUGGUUCCCAUUAAAAUCAAAGGCUAUUUGUUUGGCAUUCCAAAGCAAAAAGCUGAAUUACAUGACACCAAAAUGGCGAGAAGGAAUUCUCUGUUAAAAAUGUCAAACGUUGCAAACAAGUACACAAAUCAACCUCUGAUCAAUCUCCAAAUUUGUUCAGAAGUGACUUUUCGGAAGUGACUUUUCUAAAAUGUUGAUGCAUUUAUCGCAAUUUAGCUGCCUGCUUCAGCCAUACAUUGUACAUGUACCAAUCUUGUACCCAGCUUUAGUUUUAUCAAGUAUAGUCAGCACUGAUACUAUGUAGAAAACAAUGUUUGACUAUGAAUGAAAAAUAUUGGCUCUAUUCACACAUUUUCCAAUUCAUCAAAAUUGAGCAACCCAAGUUUUCCAUUUUGUAAGUAAACGAAAAAAUGUUUGCUAAAAAUCAUUGUUAUUUGACAGUUAAGUACAUGCAGGAGUUUUUGCGUGCGCACCUAUGUUGAAAACUUGAGAAAGCAGUCUUUGUUUGGUCAUUUGUUUGGCAAUAUGGAUAAAAACUGUAGUAAAUGAUCAAAAGAGUAUCCGAACUUAAAAAAAAGAACAGAAAGAAAUAAUGCUUCCAGUGCUGGCUAUACAUGUAUAAUCUUGUAUGAUAAUUUGUUGAGUAACCCAUAUAUACUUGACAUUUUACCAACAGGCAAUGUUCUGAUAUACACGAGCCCAACGCAUGCAAGUCCCCCCGGGGCGUGCACGUGUGGUGUUCCCCGCCCGCAGAUGCCGGCUCGUCUGGUGGGUCGUCCCUGUCUGCAUUGACGAUUGGUCUUUUGUUCAAGGUGUGUGCUAGCUUCCUGAUCUUGUGGUCUGGAUAAUCGUGGAUGACUUGGUCGACUUCAACAUGGUAAGGAUCCUUUUGAACUUUGACAAUUAGUUUGCCUUUCUGCAAAGGAGAUGUCUUUUUGGCUGUUUCUUUACCGAGUGUUGCUGUGGAAAUUAUGUACCAUCUAUCACUCUGGAGAUUGCAAAUCUAGAGAUCAAUCGAGCAUCUACUCUUGAUGUCCCGCUUGCAUUUCAAUAGUUCCACGGCAUCAUGUUGAUCCAAAUGAUCUGCUAACAAAUGGGUACUGUUGUUGGUAUAUCUGAUGUUCUUCAAUGCGGUUUGAUUUUCGGACAGGUGUUUCAGCCGCUAUUUAUGUGAAUAACUUCCAUGGUAUAACUCUGAAAUCUCAUUGCCUUUUAUUGUGUCAUCAUGUACAAUCAGUUCUCUCAUAGAGUGUGUUCAAAUCUUAGACAUGCACGGAUAAAAAUAAGGAAAUAUCAAAAGGAAAUCGUUAAAAUUAACUGAAUCAAACGUCAAAUCUGCUCUAAAUUCAGCAUCUGAUGUAUCACUUUAAAAAAUGAGUUUGCAAAUAACAUUUGUGUUUUUGGCAGCAUACGAAUCUUAACUUGAUAAACAUAAGCGAGUGAUAUACAAAAUUCCCAAAUUUAAAAAAGGCAGCUUCUCUGCCAGAAAUAUUCAAAAUGCGAAAUUUUGGUAUCGUAAAAAAAGAGAGAAAAAAACGAAGAAGAAAAUCAUCCUCACUUCAAAGCAACUUUAAAAGAGACUUUUAAAAAUUCAACGCUCUUUUAAAAACACAAAGGAAACAAAUUCUUAUUAAAUUAAAAAAGCAAAGAAUGGGCUAUUGCCAUCAUAUUUAUCAUCAAAACUGCCGUGCGAAAGAAAAAACGGAGAGAAAAUUUUAAGAAACUUUGAAAAAAAAAGGAGAGAAGGCCAAACUCUUCAAAUUGUAGGGGAGAAGUCCUGGUGUGCAGAGGGGGAGAACCAUGCUGUUUCCUGGCCAGAUGGAAGAUGUGGUGGACAAAAAAAGCCCCCUGCAUCCUAGCAAAUAGAAGCUGUGGUGUCAGACACAGGGAGCCAGUCCUGCCAGAUGGUUCCAUGGUAAGUUUAAUUGAAGUUUGUAGAAUGAAUUCAUGCACUGUGUACAUCCUCAUUGCUUGCUAAACCCAACGGUAAAAUGUGUAUCUCAUGGCUAGGAGUAAACGCUAUCUGUCUGCAUUACAGGAAAACAGUAUUGUGCAUUAUAGUCUUCAGUCUGUGGCAAUACCAUUUAGCCUCAAUUUGGCACUUGAAAAAACAAAGUAAGAGAAACAAAAUGUCAGCUUUUUGUCAACUGUAGUCAAAGUUGGACAAAGGCAUUGACAUGACAAUUCUAGGAACUGAUCAGUUUUCAUAAACUUUGAUAUUGCCGAAGAGAUGUCAAUACUCUUCUUAUAAGUGUCCAUUGAGUCCUACAAUCAUACAGAGAUGCAACCAGUGUAUUGGUGCGCAAACAUCUCAACCAAUCUCAGUAAACUUUCUGGACUCAACACUCACUGCAAGCACUCAAAGUGCUGCUACUCAACUCAUGGUCAAAUGUUUUGACCUCUACACUCCAAUCCUUUGAUUGGAUAAAACCUUGGGCUUGAGCAAUCACUGCAGCCCCCCAUAGAUUCAUCACCCACCUGAUAGGUGGUUGCAUGGGGAAAUCCCCUGCCAGGUCUGUUUAAGAGGACCUUUUGUGAUCACAACUUUGUGAUCUGAGCUGCUCACUUGUCUGCAGUGAUCGAGAGCCAUAUCAAAGUGUGCUCUUGAGCAAUUGGAAAUUAACGUGCACUUUCAAAAAAGCCUUGGAAAUCUAGGCUUGCAAUAAAAGCAGUUCCAUCUUCGCGAGUGACACAGAUUCAGCUGAAAAGCCUUGAAGCAAAAGCUCUUUUCAGUUGCACGACCCCUUUCAGUGCAAAACUGAAAUUGUUUAUUCUCAUUCUCUGUCAGUAUGCAUUUUUUAAGUGGGAUAUGAGACGUUAAAACAAAGGUCGUGCCAUUGUGUCCACCUGUUAGUAUUCGUUAUUCAAUUGAUUUUAAAAACUAAGAAGAAGACAUUUAACUUUGAAUGUCUUUGAGAGUCCUGGAAGAUCUUCACCUUAGCUUUGACUUUAAAUCAAAACUUUGAAAUACAGUGUACUCGGUUUUAUUUUGUCUUAUUGGCCAGUUCGCACCUUUGCACGCUACCUCAGAAAAGAAAAUUCAGUAUUGUACACUUCCAUUCAGAAGAAAGUUAUCAUAUGCUCUAAGUGUACCGGUACUGGAAACCUGAAAAACUUUCCCUGUACAUUGUAAGUUGUUUGUGUUCGACAUCUCAUCAGAGAGCAGUAAUUGAAUACAAGUCUGAUAUCUGACAAUUGUAAAUCUUCCUGCAAAGAAGUCCAACAUUGAGUAGAUGUUACAGAACCCACCAUAAAGUUGGUCUGCUCUGAGUUAGACCAAAUUGGUGCCACUCGCCAAGAAACAAACACUCAAAAUUGUGAAUCUUUGAAAAGGUUGCUGAAACCAAUCUGACAUUGAAAUUAAUUUAUCUUGUCUCACUAGCAGAGGACUUAAAUUUAUUUCUCACUAUCUCAUGACUUUGCAAAAAUGAAAAGUGCAAAGUGAUAUCACACUUUGCAUCAAACUGACACACUUGAAUCUAAUUUUAACUUGACUAAAACUGAAAUUCUAGGAAUAUGGUCUUUGGGGCCUGACGGUAGUGUGUCAGUUGUCAAAUAAGGUGAAGAUCUUUCAGGACACAUGUUGGUAUUGCCACAGACUGAAGACUAGCUAUGCUCCAUGCUUUAACCCUUUAGUGACCAUACCUCUCUUGGUGUACAACGCUACUUCUCCAAGUGCAUUUUCCAGACUGAAGAAGACUAGGCUGGUAUUGUGAAUUGGGACGUAUUCGAAUGCUAAACCAACUAAAAUCCUGUCGAACAUGCAGUUCUUAUUCAAGGCAAAUGUUGUGAAAUGUGAUUUUUUUUCGAAUACUAAAAUAGCUAAUCAGCUAAUCUGGCAAUUCAGUUCUCCGGUGGCUAAGGUCACUAAAGGGUUAAAAAGAAAAAUCAAAGGUUGUUUGAGUCAUUGUUCAGGUCAAGUUUAGAUUCCGUUUAGUACUAAGAGGGCUGUACGAGCAUACAAAUGUAGGGCAGGUUUCUAAGCAAAUAUGCAAUCUCUUCAGUUUCUUCAGUCUCUUUAAAAUUGAUCAAACUACUCUUAGUAUUUUCAUUUGUUAUUAUCAACAAGCUAAAAGGUAAUAUUAACAAUUCUGUUAAAGGCAAACUUCAGCAAACCUCUUUAAUUCAAUAUUGCAGCAAAUAAAUACGUCACAGAGUUAGAAUGCAUUAUUUUUAAAAUUGAGCAGAGCGUGUAGCAUCUGAAUAUUUUUCCCUGUCAUAUGUAAUGAUUCAUUGCAUGUCAUGUAAAUAUCGCUAAAGACCAUCUCUGAGAACAUGAAUGAGUACAAUGCAGUGAACAGUGAAUUAAACAUGAUGUGAUAAAUAAAUUAUAAAAAAAUUGUACGUUGGGUCAAAAUCUGGCAAAUGAAAUAAAUUUAACCAAAUUACAAAUGUACAUGUAGGUACAUAAACCUAAUUACUAAAAAAUAAAAACGUUGAACACUUCACAUAAUGUUCAGUAGACGCCUUUGACAUGACUGAAUUAAGGAGUAAAUAAACACUUCAAUAAACAACUCAGGACAGCUCAGUAUGAUAAAAUGAAAUUGGAAAACUUGCACAUUUUCUUAGUCAGAAAAUAACAAUAAGGUUCAAGUCAGUUGAAUAAUUUAUAGUAAUAUAGUCAGCCCACUAGGGAAAAAGCAAGCUGGUUUUUUGUCUCUAUAGGGUUAAUUGUUCUAUAAACUAAAUGUACAAGUGAGUCAAACUAAUUUAACUUGAUAGCCAACUGGGACAGGAAUAUUUCCUUUUUUUCCAUGGAAUAUUUUUGCAAGCAUGCAUUUUUACAGUGUUCCUAACUUUAUACCCAUUAACCUUUACUUGGGCAUACUCAGAGAGAUCUAAAAUAACUAGGACUUAUUAAUUUUGUUGACGUCAAUUGGGUUGAAUCUCAGUUUAUGUACAUGUAGGUACACCAGGCUCUGUGCAACUGCAAGAGGGAUACAUUUUAUAACAUUGUCCCAAGAAAGAUAGGUUUAGCCUGUAAAAUUAGUACUUUUUUGUCAUUCCUCUCUUAAGUGUUUCAAAAGUGAAAGGUCGGUCUUGUCUUACAAGUUGUAAGGGGUGGGUCCCAGGAUAAAUCUUAAAAUGAAUGGCAGUUUUGCUGAUUGAAUGAUUUCUGACAAAAUGCAUACUUUGAAAGAGCCUUAUUUUGAAAUUCUGCUCUUUCAUUUGACUAACUUAAACUUGCAAUUCACUUAGCCAAAAACGACCGUGUCAAUCCUUCUGAUACGCAGUCAUCUUGAUUUUAAAUUAUGGCAGUGUUCCAUUUUCAAAUCCUGCAGGAGCACUCAAUUUUGUUUGCGAGACAAAAUGGUUGGUCUAGUUCAAUUGCUAAACAAAGUGCAGAUAAAGUGAUUGUAAUUUUCAAUCCAAUAUGUUUUGGUCAGGCAAGAAACCAAGAACAUUUUUUGCCCAGUUUUGCAUGCUGCAUGCCUAAACAUCACUGAAAUGCCUUCUAAGUCAGUAGCAAGUGUCUUGUUGGAGAAUCAGUCUCAGAAACUGCCAUUAAUUUGUCCUAGGGCCUGCCUAGGUUUGCAUGUGAGCAUAAAUGUGCAAUAUCUGUUGUAAUGUAGACAUGUAGCAAUACAGGGUGAGUCAAAAAGAAAGUGACCGAAUGAGAAAAAAAGGCUUUUAAAACACGUUGCUUGCUCCAUUUUAUAAAAAAUAACAUAGGAUAAAGUACGUGUCAUUGACUAGUAACUGAAAAUUUCUCGCAAUUUUGCGUACUCUAUGCCCAAGUUAUGUCUAUUUUAACAAAAAGAUCACAAAAUUCAGCUGUCCACCACUGAUCAUUUACCGUUGUAUGAACUGAUGAAUACGCAUUAAAUACAGUGAAACAUGGUCGUUUUCCCACCUUGAUGAAUGAACGAAAAUUUGCAAAAAACUGACAAAACUCGUCAUCACUAUUUCAGGAAAAUAAAAGAGUUGACGUAAUUGUUCCUCAGAUUAAAAACACAAAAUCUGACUGAAAAAAAGAAUGUUUCAGUCUUCACCCAAAUGAUCAAAAUCUCAUUUUUAUUUCAAUGCCUGUGUGUAAUCUGUAAUUAUCACUCCACUCAAUAGCUUCCAACAGCAUUCCAUGAACAGCUACAGAAAUAGGUUCCUCUGGUAGCCUGGAUCAAUUUCAGUGAUUAAGACAUAUUUCAUUGAUGCAUAAAAUUUGAUCGCUUUUUAAGAAAAAAAAAUCAUUAAUCCAGGUCACUUUCUUUUUGACUCGCCCUGUAUGUUUACUCCGAAUGCCAUGAUACACAUGUGGGUUUAGCAAGCACAAACAGAUGAGGAUGUAUGUUGUCAUUGUACAGUGCAUGAAUUAAUGAAAGCUUCAAUUAAACUUGACCAUGGAUGGCCAUGGCGGGACAAGGCUGUCCCUGUGUCAUGAUGAUGCCACAGCUUCUGAGGAUGCUGAGGGGCAGAUUGCCACCACAUCAACAGUGGCGUAGCUAGAAUGAAGGAGGGGCCACAAAAAACUGGAGGGGCAAAUUAAAGCCCAUGCAAUUGUCCAUGUGGGGCCAACAUGAAAUUCGACAUUAUCAUUUGAAUGUACAUGGCUGGUCGCCAUGUUUGUGGCUUCAUUUUUAUGGGCCCAUCUUGAGUUGGCCAAAAUAUGGGCCGAGCAUGGAAUUGAGAUAGAUCCCAGUUUGUCCAAUUGGACAGACCGCCCCCUCCAAAUGUUAGAAGGCCCCUCCCAUCCCCAUGAGCUACGCCACUGCACAUUAACCAGGAAGUAACAUGGUUCUUCAGAAACGCACAUCGGGUUGCACAUGGGGGGUAAAAAAUACUCCCCCUCCAAAAAAAAUGUUCUUUGACAAAAAUCUAAUUCAUUUGAGGCUGGCGUACGGCUUCAAAGAAUGUGACAUUAUAAGCUAGCAAUCAUUCUGUGCACAAAAUGUGUGUUGAUUUGGUUUGCCUAUUGUCAGUUUGAAAAAACAAACAGAUUUGUGAAGAGUUUCGCCCGAUGUCGGUAGAAAUGAAAGAGAUCACUCAGUAUUGAAAUACUGUGUGAAAUCCAAAGAAUUCCAAAAGAAAAAUUGUGAAUGUGUUUCAGUACAACCAAUUUCUCUCUCGUAAAACUUCCAAUCAAAAUGUGUGGGUUGAUUUAGAUUGUAACAUGCGCAUCAUGUACAUCAUGUACAUUAACAUGUACAUUGAGUGCACAAAUUGAAUUGUACAUGUACGUUGAGUGCAUAAUUCAACAGCUUCGUUGAAGAUAUUUAUGAUGGCACAAAGCAAAGAAAAAUUGUGAUUACAUUUCUCCACUGAAAGAACCGUUUCAGUGUAUUUGCCCAUAUAAAUCAGGACUGUGUGAGAAAUGUCAAAAAUUGACUCUUUAUUGUACCAAAUGUACGCAAACUUUGUCAAAAAAAGGAGAGAAAAAUAUGCGCAAAAUUUACAAAAUAACAAAAAUUCUAUCUUUCCGAGUCCAAGAGAGAUAAAGAAAACAGUUGCUUUGAAAUGGGACUUGUCUGACCUAAAUGCUGGUUGAAGUUUUGGCUGAAAAAUCUCACUUCUUAAAACCUGUAAAUCCUACCAAGAACACUUCGGUAAAUUUGAACGUGCAAAUUGAAAUAUUUAAUUAAAUUGAAGUCCAAAUACAUUGGUGUAAUUACUUGAAUUUACUUGGCACAACUAUAUCUUAUCUGCAAAAUCCGACGUUCUUAAAACUAGUGUAAGUGCUGCCAGAAAACACCGACUUUUAUUUGGUCAAAUAUAUCUGAUGGAAAUGCGAUGUACAUGUACAGCAUGUACAUGUCAUGUACAUGACAUGUCAUGUCAUGUACAUGUACAUGUCAUGUCAUGUACAUGUACAUGUACAUGUACAUAGCAUGUACAUGUACAGUAUGUACAUGUACUUACUACCCAAGUACAAAGAAGCUUUCCAAAAUUGGCAAGGCUUUAGAGCUUGAAGAUCAAAUUUGAUAAUACUGUUACCUUCUCUUAAAAGGUUACGUCUGCCUCCUGUUAAACUUGUCCUGAAUUGGUUUUUUGGUCUUUGCCAGUUCAAGUUAAACGUGCAUGUCCGUCAAAACCAAAUAUAUACUUACAAGUUCUUGUGAAAAUCUUACGAAUAAUAUGCAUUUUGAAAUGACACACUCAUGAGAUGAACUGAUUACUGUACAUGUUGAUGUGAUUAAACGGCAGGGAGAUUUCAGAGUUAUAUCAUCGAAGUUAUUUGCGUAAAUGGUAGCAGAUAUAAAUGUCCUAAAAUCUUAUUGCAUUGGAAAUAUCGGAGAAAGCUGGCAAAUUGUAGCCUGUUUGUAUUGCAUUUCAUUUAAAUGGAUCAGAAACAUGAUGCAACAGCGAACGAUGGAAAUGUUGAGUGAGACAAUCAUAAGUAGAUGUGAGAGAGAUCUCUACUUGGGCAAUUUUUGGAGUGAUAGUUGGUAUACAAUUUCCAUGGCAAUACUUAGUAAUUGAAAUGGUUAAUAAGGCAUUGACUUUGUUGGAAAAGUAAACUGAUUGUUAAAAGUUCAUAAGGAUCCUUAUCAUGUUGGAGUUAACCAAGUCAUUUGCGAUUAUUUGGACUUCAAGUUUGGGGAGUUAGUGCGCACUAAGAUCAACUGAUCAUGAGUUGAUGUAGAUAGAGGGCGACUCGCUGGACUUGCUGGUGUCUGUGGGCGGGGAACACCAUGCGUGCACGCCUCGGGGGGACUUGUAUGCGUUGGGCUUUUUUUUUGGCCAAGUUCAAGUUCAAAGCCAAGUUCAAGGUCAAGUUCAAGGUCAGAUAAAAAAAAAUAACUUACACCAGAUGUAAAAAUAAAUUCAAGUUGAAACAAUUACUUUGGUACUUUUUUCAUGGUUUAUUUCAUGGUUUAUUUCAUGAACAGCGCCCUCAUUAUUUUUAAUUAAAGUCAAAUUAAGAAGAGUGCCCUCUUAUGGUAUCUUGUAUCUUAUGCCCAAGCCACAUUUCAUACAAGAGCGCCCUCUAUCUUAUGUUUGUUUAAAUAUUUGUUUUUUAGAAGUUAUUCUAAAUUUAAACAUGACACAAGAGGGCGCCCUUUUUCAUUCUCAAUUUGAUUUGGUGUAAAAACUAAUAAGAGGGCUCCCUUCCUUGCUGAAACUAUGCACAUAAAGAGGGCGCCCUUCGUUUAAAUGAACUUGGGAAAACUUUAAACAUACAAAUGCGUUUGUGGAUUUUUUUCAAAAGUCAAAGGGCGCCCUCAUGUAUUUUUAAGCUUCAAAUAGGGAAGGGAGCCCUCUAGUGUCAUACUGGACUUCAAAAAUACCUGCUGUCUAUUUUCACAAGAAUAAUUUGCAGCACACUUUCUAAAGCUUCACAGCGCAAGUUUGAACUUGUUGCCAAUUACAAAUAAAGAGAAAAAAUUAUCCCUUUUGUUUUUACAACUUCUGGCAAGCGCUAAACGAAUUAUCACGUUUGAGUGUAUAGUCAUCAUGAACCAUAACAAAAAUACAAGUUCAUUGUUUUCAAUAGAGCAACAUCCGUGUGGAUAUUUUAAGCUUGUGUACAUCUUCAUAAAAAAAACUAAAACCAACAAAAUAUGAACACAUUCUUUUGUGCUGCUAACUUGUGAAAAUAGACAGCAGGUAUGUCAAGAAUAAAAGAAACCAUCACACCAAACCAACAUACUUUUAUUGGAGUCACAAAAAACCAACAAUCUACAAUGGCACAUCAUAAGUUAUUCAUUCAUAAGCAUUAAGUUGUCUUCUUAAAAUGCAAUCUUUCUGAGAGAAGAAAAAAUGGAAUGUUUGUAAGUGUUUUAUCAUCAUGUCAAACCACAUCAGGAACAGCAUUACUUCUGAAAAUUUUUUGUACUGGAUUUUUCGAAUUGAUGGACAAAAGUUGUACGAGUUCCAUUCUAUAGUGAAUUUCUAAAUAUACUAGUAUUAAAUUUUGAAUAAAAACAUCCACUUUCUUAAAGUGUGCGACAGACUUAAGUACUCAUAAAAUAUUAGGAACCUUUUAGUAAAAGUUCACCGUAAAGUUCCUCUUCCUGUGCUCUUCAACUUACAUUGUAAUCUAAUGUUUUCUCUCAGUGAAUUUUCACAUGUAUCUUUUACUUCAAUAGAAAAGUCUAGAUUUUUGGGGGGCAUGUUUUAAACCCUCUGAAAAUAUGCUUUUUUGGGUUUGCUUUUGCGCCAAUGAUACACACAAAAAUAUUAUUAUUGGGCCUGGUAAAAGUUAAUAUAUGAAAGCAAAUAUUCCAUAACUAAAUACAUGGAUGGAUUUGUUCGCUCAAUGUCUUUUGCAAAAGAAAAUAACAUUUGAAUUGCAAAUAAAUAGCAACGUAAAAAAAACAACUUUUAAUUUCUUGGGGUGAAACUUGAAAAGAGCACAGGAACAGAGACUAGGCUGUUAUUUCCAAUAACUGUAUGAUGUGCCAUUGUAGAUCUAUGUGUAUAUAAUUAUAAGCUCGAUACAUUUUUGUUUAAAUACGUAAAUAAGGCAUUAAAUCAAUGUCUAACUUUUUCAAAAAUAUUAACCAGGCACAUGUCGACAAAUUUGUCCCAACAAUUUGUACAAAUUUUUGGGGAAAAGUUUCUAAUUUUCUGACGUUUAAGAAGUACUUGUGAGUACGUAGUACCCCUAACAGUUCUGAAUCCUCCAGGAAUCUAGCUUGAAUGGGUGGCAAAAUGAAGGCCUUGCUCCAAAAUUUGAAGAAAAAAGAAAGAGUUGAAUUGCAAACACUUUGAAAAAAGUGAGGUGAGUUGUCAGAGUUUGCUUUUCAAUGCAUGAAUAUUCCUAUGUCCAUAUCAAGACUAAGCAUUUCGAAACAAACGAUGCGUAAUUCUGAUCAAGUUGAAACAUCAGGCCUCUUCAAGAUCAUUACACAACUAGGUUCUUAUCGUUUGGGACGCUGCUUGUAAUAUGUGACAUGUGCCUGGAUAACUACAGGUCUCUCUCAAAUGACGUCAUUUCCUACAGACCAGCCACGUGCAUCGGCAUUUUGAGUGCCAACUUGCAUAAGGCACAUCUGCUGCAUCGUAUUUUGAACACAUUUCUAGCAACAAGUGCAAAUGUUUUGAACUUUUUCAACACUGCGCAAUGCGUGCUUGAUUACGUAAAAUAUGCAGUUGCAGUUCUCCUACAGAGAUGGCCGUCUUUGAGAGAGACCUACUUCAAAUUUAAAUGGUCGCAUCACAGACGACUUUGUGCAAAUCCUUGGCAAUGAAGGUGGUUCCUCACAGAAUGCAAAAUGGCAAACGUGGAACAAAAGUUUUGGACUUCAGAUCUACAAAGUUUUCUUGCUCUGAUGCACACAAGAACCUCUCAUUGCCAAGGAUUUGCUUUUGUCCAACGUCAGCCGCUCCAGGCGAGCCCAAGUCCUCCAAGCAGUCUUGAAAAGGAAUCUGCAGGAAAUCCACCAGCACCAGUGAUUCAGUCAGAUGAUCGGUCACCUUAUACAGGGGAGAAAAAAAAAGAGCCAUCAAAAUAUCCUAACUGACAAUUUGCUACAGUCCAAGAAACAAUAUUCACAUGCCGGAACGACUGGUUUUAACACAUUUCUCGUCAAUUUAAAAAAGUAUAGGCCUAUUUGCCCAUUUGUUAUACAUAAAUUCUGCUGUCAUUUGCACAGGUUUGUUUUCAUUAUAAACCAUAGCAGCUGACCUAUGAGCUGUAUCUGUGGUCCAAGGAAUGCAAGUUCCUUUUAAAUUAUUUCAAAUGCUUUGUACAGGCAUGCACCUUUUCCUCGGAUCUGCUGAUUUCCUUGGUUUUUUUACUUCUCGUGAAUGCCAUUACAAAUUGAAAUACACUUAUACUGUACAAAGUCUUGUGUGGUUUGGAGUUUCUUCCUUUUAUUUUUAUAAAUUCCCAGUUGCAUGCCUGUCUGUAACUGAUGAUCACAACAAAUAUGUCAUUAAAAUGUUACUAGAAUUUUGGUUAUGUGCUUUGAUAUAAAGCUUGGAAAUUGUUCAAAUUGACCGGUCAUUUUCAGCCAUUAAGCGAGAGGUUAAAACCAGCCGUUUGAAGACGCCCUUAUCAAUGUGAUCAAAAUAUCAUUGUAAUUAAUGCAAGUAACAGUACACACAUAUUUCAUUCAGCCUUACUUUAUAGUAUAAAUAUGUUGCUUUUUUCCAUGACGUAAAACAAAUAUUUGCCUAACCCCUUUGGCACCUUUACACCAGCUCAAUAUCUUAAUUCAGCCAUAAUGUAGGAUAUUUGAAAUAAAAUUACUAUAGAACCAA